UACGAAGGGGGCUAGCGUUGUUCGGAAUCACUGGGCGUAAAGGGCGCGUAGGCGGCUGUUCAAGUCGGGGGUGAAAGCCUGUGGCUCAACCACAGAAUUGCCUUCGAUACUGGACGGCUGGAGACCGGAAGAGGUCAGUGGAACUGCGAGUGUAGAGGUGAAAUUCGUAGAUAUUCGCAAGAACACCAGUGGCGAAGGCGGCCAACUGGUCCGAUACUGACGCUGAGGCGCGAAAGCGUGGGGAGCAAACAGG
Molecule: ribosomal RNA, 253 nt
Filed under: uncultured bacterium
Lineage: Bacteria
Description: partial 16S ribosomal RNA
Rfam family: Bacterial small subunit ribosomal RNA
Source: RNAcentral